UAUGUGAUCGUCUCUCGCAUAUCAAUAAGCGGAGGAAAAGAAACUAACAAGGAUUCCCCUAGUAACGGCGAGUGAAGCGGGAAGAGCUCAAAUUUGAAAUCUUAAAGGGUUUCCCUUUACGAAUUGUAGUUUAAAGAAGUGUUUUCUGUUGAGGUUUUGGUAAAAGUUCUUUGGAAUAGGACAUCAUAGAGGGUGAGAAUCCCGUAUUUGACCUUUACUUUCAACUUUGUGAUGCACUUUCAAAGAGUCGGAUUGUUUGGGAAUGCAGUCCAAAAUGGGUGGUAAAUUUCAUCUAAAGCUAAAUAUUGGCGAGAGACCGAUAGCGAACAAGUACCGUGAGGGAAAGAUGAAAAGAACUUUGAAAAGAGAGUUAAACAGUACGUGAAAUUGUCAAAAGGGAAGCGUUUGACACCAGUGUUGUUUUUCUGAAAAUCAAUUAAAGAACUGUUUAUGCUAAGUUGUUUAGACUUUAUCAGCUAACUGUUUAGUUUUGAGCUUUUCUUUAAUGCACUUUUCAGUUAACAAGUCAACAUCAAUUUCUUUUGCUGUAAAAAAGCUUGAGGAAGGUGGCUUGAGAUUCGUCUUAAGUGUUUAUAGCCUCUUGCCUAUGCAGUCGGAGAGAUUGAGGUCUGCAGCGUAGAUCCUUCGGGGCUAAAUGCAUUUGUGCUAAGUUAUAACAUUUUAUAGACAACUUGUUGACUAUGAUUUGUCUUGUAGCUUACUCGCUUAUGUUAUUUUACCUACGCUUAGGAUGUUGAGUAGCGACAUACGCAC
Molecule: ribosomal RNA, 774 nt
Filed under: uncultured Neocallimastigales
Lineage: Eukaryota; Fungi; Neocallimastigomycota; Neocallimastigomycetes; Neocallimastigales
Description: partial large subunit ribosomal RNA
Rfam family: Eukaryotic large subunit ribosomal RNA
Source: RNAcentral